This 499-nucleotide ribosomal RNA is filed under the name uncultured bacterium. RNAcentral's name for it is "partial 16S ribosomal RNA". It matches the Rfam family "Bacterial small subunit ribosomal RNA", at positions 28 to 507 of the family's 1533-position model. The record is from RNAcentral.
GACGAACGCUGGCGGCGUGCCUAAUACAUGCAAGUCGAGCGAAGUUUUUCUGGUGCUUGCACUAGAAAAACUUAGCGGCGAACGGGUGAGUAACACGUAAAGAACCUGCCUCAUAGACUGGGACAACUAUUGGAAACGAUAGCUAAUACCGGAUAACAGUAUUUCUCGCAUGAGAGAUAUUUAAAAGUUGGUUAUGCUAACACUAUGAGAUGGCUUUGCGGUGCAUUAGCUAGUUGGUGGGGUAAAGGCCCACCAAGGCGACGAUGCAUAGCCGACCUGAGAGGGUGAUCGGCCACACUGGGACUGAGACGCGGCCCAGACUCCUACGGGAGGCAGCAGUAGGGAAUCUUCCGCAAUGGGCGAAAGCCUGACGGAGCAACGCCGCGUGAGUGAAGAAGGAUUUCGGUUCGUAAAGCUCUGUUGUUAGGGAAGAAUGGAUAUGUAGUAACUAUACAUGUAAGAGACGGUACCUAACCAGAAAGCCACGGCUAACUACGUG